UACGUAGGGGGCAAGCGUUGUCCGGAAUUAUUGGGCGUAAAGAGCGUGUAGGCGGUCCGGUAAGUCAGCUGUGAAAGUCAAGGGCUCAACCCUUGAAAGCCGGUUGAUACUGUCGGGCUAGAGUCCGGAAGAGGCGAGUGGAAUUCCCGGUGUAGCGGUGAAAUGCGCAGAUAUCGGGAGGAACACCAAUGGCGAAGGCGGCUCGCUGGGACGGUACUGACGCUGAGACGCGAAAGCGUGGGGAGCAAACAGG
This 253-nucleotide ribosomal RNA is filed under the name uncultured bacterium. Its description in RNAcentral is "partial 16S ribosomal RNA". It matches the Rfam family "Bacterial small subunit ribosomal RNA", at positions 524 to 776 of the family's 1533-position model. The record is from RNAcentral.